UGGGGAAUUUUGGACAAUGGGCGAAAGCCUGAUCCAGCAAUGCCGCGUGUGUGAAGAAGGCCUUCGGGUUGUAAAGCACUUUUGUCCGGAAAGAAAUCCUUGGCUCUAAUACAGUCGGGGGAUGACGGUACCGGAAGAAUAAGCACCGGCUAACUACGUGCCAGCAGCCGCGGUAAUACGUAGGGUGCAAGCGUUAAUCGGAAUUACUGGGCGUAAAGCGUGCGCAGGCGGUUUGCUAAGACCGAUGUGAAAUCCCCGGGCUCAACCUGGGAACUGCAUUGGUGACUGGCAGGCUAGAGUAUGGCAGAGGGGGGUAGAAUUCCACGUGUAGCAGUGAAAUGCGUAGAGAUGUGGAGGAAUACCGAUGGCGAAGGCAGCCCCCUGGGCCAAUACUGACGCUCAUGCACGAAAGCGUGGGGAGCAAACAGGAUUAGAUACCCUGGUAGUCCACGCCCUAAACGAUGUCAACUAGUUGUGGGGAUUCAUUCUUAGUAACGUAGCUAACGCGUGAAGUUGACCGCCUGGGGAGUACGGUCGCAAGAUUAAAACUCAAAGGAAUUGACGGGGUCAUAGCUGUUUCCU
This 582-nucleotide ribosomal RNA is filed under the name uncultured bacterium. RNAcentral's name for it is "partial 16S ribosomal RNA". It matches the Rfam family "Bacterial small subunit ribosomal RNA", at positions 355 to 1375 of the family's 1533-position model. The record is from RNAcentral.